GGAGGAGUGGCCGAGUGGUCGAAGGCAGCGGUUUUGAAAACCGCCGAGCUCGCAAGGGCUCCAGGGGUUCGAAUCCCUUCUCCUCCG
Molecule: transfer RNA, 87 nt
Filed under: Myxococcales bacterium
Lineage: Bacteria; Pseudomonadati; Myxococcota; Myxococcia; Myxococcales
Also listed under: 1 other name
Description: tRNA-Ser
Rfam family: tRNA
About the family: Transfer RNA (tRNA) molecules are approximately 80 nucleotides in length. Their secondary structure includes four short double-helical elements and three loops (D, anti-codon, and T loops).
Source: RNAcentral